This 1084-nucleotide ribosomal RNA is filed under the name Apiospora setosa. Its description in RNAcentral is "eukaryotic LSU rRNA". It matches the Rfam family "Eukaryotic large subunit ribosomal RNA", at positions 48 to 1159 of the family's 3401-position model. The record is from RNAcentral. Lineage: Eukaryota; Fungi; Ascomycota; Sordariomycetes; Amphisphaeriales; Apiosporaceae.
CAGCGGAGGAAAAGAAACCAACAGGGAUUCCCCUAGUAACGGCGAGUGAAGCGGGAACAGCUCAAAUUUGAAAUCUGGCCCUCGGGUCCGAGUUGUAAUUUGCAGAGGAUGCUUUUGGCGCGGUGCCUUCCGAGUUCCCUGGAACGGGACGCCUUAGAGGGUGAGAGCCCCGUACGGUUGGCCACCAAGCCUGUGUAAAGCUCCUUCGACGAGUCGAGUAGUUUGGGAAUGCUGCUCAAAACGGGAGGUAUAUUUCUUCUAAAGCUAAAUACUGGCCAGAGACCGAUAGCGCACAAGUAGAGUGAUCGAAAGAUGAAAAGCACUUUGAAAAGAGGGUUAAAUAGCACGUGAAAUUGUUGAAAGGGAAGGGUUUAUGACCAGACUUUUUCUAGGGGGAUCAUCCGGUGUUCUCACCGGUGCACUUCCCCUAGUUGAGGCCAGCAUCGGUUUCUGCCGGGGGAUAAAAGCUUCGGGAAUGUGGCUCCUUCGGGAGUGUUAUAGCCCGUUGUAUAAUACCCUGGCGGGGACCGAGGUUCGCGCAUUCGCAAGGAUGCUGGCGUAAUGGUUAUUAACCACCCGUCUUGAAACACGGACCAAGGAGUCGAACAUUUGUGCGAGUGUUUGGGUGUUAAACCCUCACGCGUAAUGAAAGUGAACGGAGGUGAGAGCCUUUAGGGGUGCAUCAUCGACCGAUCCUGAUGUCUUCGGAUGGAUUUGAGUAGGAGCAUCACUGUUCGGACCCGAAAGAUGGUGAACUAUGCGUGGAUAGGGUGAAGCCAGAGGAAACUCUGGUGGAGGCUCGCAGCGGUUCUGACGUGCAAAUCGAUCGUCAAAUCUGCGCAUGGGGGCGAAAGACUAAUCGAACCAUCUAGUAGCUGGUUACCGCCGAAGUUUCCCUCAGGAUAGCAGUGUUGUGUUUAGUUUUAUGAGGUAAAGCGAAUGAUUAGGGACUCGGGGGCUAUUUACUGCCUUCAUCCAUUCUCAAACUUUAAAUAUGUAAGAAGUCCUUGUUGCUUUAGUGAACGUGGGCAUUCGAAUAAAUCAACACUAGUGGGCCAUUUUUGGUAAGCAGAACUGGCGAUGC